UAUGAAUAUGCAGCACCGCAUUAUAGCCUGGGCAGAUGAUGGAUUUGUGCUCUAUAAUCACUAUCUGUCAUUACCUGGGCAUCAAAUGUGCGUCCAGAAUGACAAAGAUUAUUAGGAUCACAAAGUAUAAACCCUGGAAGAAUCUCCUCUUCUUCAAUUCCUUUCAGUCUGAUUUUGAGGUUUUCACCUGGGGCUACGGUAUCAGUCUCUACAUCAUCGGAAAGUAUUCCAAGAACUUCCACGUUGUGCUUUAAAAGAAAACAAGACUGGAGGUUUUCUGACACAUU
This 287-nucleotide long non-coding RNA is filed under the name Homo sapiens (human). Its description in RNAcentral is "long non-coding RNA NONHSAT172674". The record is from RNAcentral. Lineage: Eukaryota; Metazoa; Chordata; Mammalia; Primates; Hominidae.